UGUCAACGGUGCUCAACGUGAUGUUCUCCUCUGCCGUACGAGUCGCUGCCACCUUGUGUUUUAUUGUGAAAUGUUUGUAAUGCAUUCAUUCGAAACAAGUCUCCAAAUUCUAGGAAUUUGAGCCAUUUACAACAGGAAUUGGCUGGAUGAGUGGCUAGUCUGCAGUUUUCUCAUCAGUCGCUGGUGGGAAUCUUGCGAUCAACAAUCAUGAGCAGGGCAGACGAAAAUGUCUCCAACUCGACUCUGUGGCCGACCAAUUUUUGUCCGUCGCAAAAAUCUGCAUCCAAGGAGAAGAAUCAAAAGUACAUUCCACCUCUGUUUGCCCGAGAUUUGCCCCCGAGCCGGUCGAGUUAUUUUUAGUCCCGGCUUAUCUCGCACCGACCUUGGUAUUCUUCGUUUUUAUUGUCGGUGUACACAUUUGCUUCUUUCACUACAUUGUGUCUUUGGCUCGAAAUAGUCUCCUUAUGCAAAUACACAACUCGGUUUUUUGCGGCACGUCCCGCUUUCAGGUCACUGGCCGUUGUGUGUAGUUUAUUUUUUCAUAGUGAUCAGAAAUCGGUACGUGAGCCAGGGGAUUGUUGCGAAACGAGACAUUCACCGCCGUUUGUCUGUGUACGUGUUUAUAAUAACUAUAUCGAUCAUUCCGUUUCUUAUUAUCGCAACUUUGUAUUUAUAUAUAUUUGAGUUUGGCCAAAGGCGAGAUUGCUGAAUGCGUUGUUUGUUGUUUUUAAUAAUAUUAGAGACUAUUUUAAUUCCAGGGAAAGUGAUUUCAGGGCACUAAAUUAAGCCGGCUUUUCUCUCACCGCCCCUAGCCAUUGUAACUAAGAAAAAAAUUCAACUUGGAUAAUAAACGUUUUAACGGUUGUCAGUAAA
Molecule: long non-coding RNA, 873 nt
Organism: Neocloeon triangulifer
Lineage: Eukaryota; Metazoa; Arthropoda; Insecta; Ephemeroptera; Baetidae
Exons: 3
Source: RefSeq, a predicted model, not a curated record